UUAAUUGAAACCAAAAAGAGGUAUAUCACUGUUAAUGAUAAAAUUGAAUUUAAAUAUUUCCAAUUAAA
This 68-nucleotide transfer RNA is filed under the name Monochamus alternatus (Japanese pine sawyer). Its description in RNAcentral is "tRNA-Asn". Lineage: Eukaryota; Metazoa; Arthropoda; Insecta; Coleoptera; Cerambycidae. The record is from RNAcentral. RNAcentral also lists the same sequence under 1 other name.